This 519-nucleotide unclassified non-coding RNA is filed under the name uncultured Entrophospora. Its description in RNAcentral is "SSU rRNA". It matches the Rfam family "Eukaryotic small subunit ribosomal RNA", at positions 569 to 1083 of the family's 1831-position model. Lineage: Eukaryota; Fungi; Glomeromycota; Glomeromycetes; Entrophosporales; Entrophosporaceae. The record is from RNAcentral.
AGCAGCCGCGGUAAUUCCAGCUCCAAUAGCGUAUAUUAAAGUUGUUGCAGUUAAAAAGCUCGUAGUUGAAUUUCGGGAUUGACGUGAUGGUCGUGCCUUACGGGGUAUGAACUGUUGCAGUCAAUUUCUCACCUUCUGGAGAAAUAUGAUGUCCUUAAUUGGGUGUCAUAUGGAACCAGAACUUUUACCUUGAAAAAUUAGAGUGUUUAAAGCAGGCUUAUUGCUCGAAUACAUUAGCAUGGAAUAAUAAAAUAGGACGGCAUGGUUCUAUUUUGUUGGUUUCUAGGAUCACCGUAAUGAUUAAUAGGGAUAGUUGGGGGCAUUAGUAUUCAAUUGUCAGAGGUGAAAUUCUUGGAUUUUAUUGAAGACUAACUACUGCGAAAGCAUUUGCCAAGGAUGUUUUCAUUAAUCAAGAACGAAAGUUAGGGGAUCGAAGACGAUCAGAUACCGUCGUAGUCUUAACCAUAAACUAUGCCGACUAGGAAUCAGACGAUGUUAAUUUUUUAAUGACUCGUUUGG